Suricata suricatta (meerkat) is the source of this 307-nucleotide long non-coding RNA. RefSeq lists it as uncharacterized. The transcript is spliced from 2 exons. NCBI's taxonomy places the organism in Eukaryota, Metazoa, Chordata, Mammalia, Carnivora, Herpestidae. The record is from RefSeq and is a predicted model, not a curated record.
UGUGCUACAUUUCUUCCUAUGGCUGAAUGGAAUUUCCUGUAUGGAUUGUACCACAUACCAUUGAUCUACUCAGUAGAUGAUGGACACUGAGCUGUCUCUAGUUUCUGCCAAUUAUGGACAUUUCCAUACAAGUUUCUGGUGGCCCUCACUGUUUUGAUUACUAUCACUUUACAGCCAAUCUCCCUCCAGAUCCAAGUAACAGUAAAUACAUUUCGGGUGUAAUCAACUCAAGAGUUAUUUAACAGAGCAAAUGCAUCAAGUAAGUUUUUCCGAGCACCAAUAAAAAUGAUAAUUUCCUGUGAAACAA